RNAcentral lists this long non-coding RNA (234 nucleotides) under Elaeis guineensis (African oil palm). RNAcentral describes it as "long non-coding RNA (EGUI_LNC043389)". Lineage: Eukaryota; Viridiplantae; Streptophyta; Magnoliopsida; Arecales; Arecaceae. The record is from RNAcentral.
CUUUAGAUCCAUUUUAAGGCACGAGAGUAAAUGAGAAACUGUUCUUAAUAGCAGCAUACCUCAUUUUAGGAAGCAAUGAGAGCAAACAAUAAAAGAAAUAAAGGGUCUCCUUGUCUUAAGCCCCACCUAAAUUGCAGCCUUGUCUUUGAACAAGCACCCUCUCCCCAAACAAAUAGAUUCUGGAUCAAAUCCUCUAGUCCUUAGUACUCUGAGAGGAAUUAAACCAAGUGCACC